CUCUCCCUCUCCUGCCAUGAGGUGAGCAGCUUUGCUCUGCCACCCACUUUCCAGGAUGUUCUACUUCAUCAAAGGCCCAAAGUGAUGGGGCAACAUGACCAUGGACUGAAACCUCUGAAACUGGUUUCCUUAAGUUGCCCAGGCUGGCCUCAAAUUUGCGAUCCUCCUGCCUCAAGCUCCAGAGCAGCUGGGAAGACAGGUCUGAAAUCUAAGUAAAAAUUGGCACGAUUCUGUGAAUGGGACCUUAUAUGGGCAAAGCCCUGCCGGACAAGGAAGUGAAGCCAUCCAGGGAUUCCCUGUUUGGCAGAAGGGCUGAGAGUAUAACUAAACAAACGAGGAGGUCUUUCAGGGACACUGGAACAGAUCUUCAAAGAAGAUUCCAUGGGUGAUUAAAAAUCUCUGGGUGGUAUUAGAGAGCUUACUGCAGAAAGUAUCAAAACCUUGGAAAGCUAAUAGUGGGGUCAUGAACUUUAUAAAGCAGAGUGAACCCCUGAGAGAACAAAACAGAACUCAAAAGAGUUCUCUAAACUACUACAUGGGGAAUACCAGCAAAACAAUAACACCUGGGCGAAAACUUUUAUGGGAGAGUCUUUCAACCCCCAAUCUCAGGCUCUCUGGCUGUUAAGUACCUUGUCAAGAAAUAUAAUA
Marmota monax (woodchuck) is the source of this 648-nucleotide long non-coding RNA. RefSeq lists it as uncharacterized. The transcript has 3 exons. The record is from RefSeq and is a predicted model, not a curated record. NCBI's taxonomy places the organism in Eukaryota, Metazoa, Chordata, Mammalia, Rodentia, Sciuridae.